Molecule: unclassified non-coding RNA, 223 nt
Filed under: uncultured fungus
Lineage: Eukaryota; Fungi
Description: sequence contains ITS1, 5.8S rRNA gene
Rfam family: 5.8S ribosomal RNA (bases 175-223)
Source: RNAcentral
UCUCCGUAGGUGAACCUGCGGAGGGAUCAUUACUGAGUGAGGGCUCACGCCCGACCUCCAACCCUUUGUGAACCAAACUUGUUGCUUCGGGGGCGACCCUGCCUUUCGGCGCGGCGCCCCCGGAGGCUCAUCAAACACUGCAUCUUUGCGUCGGAGUUUAAACAAAUUAAACAAAACUUUCAACAACGGAUCUCUUGGUUCGGGCAUCGAUGAAGAACGCAGC